GGGGAGGGGCGCUGCCGGCGGGGGGCGCUGCGGGAGCACCCUUAGGUGCCGGGGGGGGGGAGCGCCGCGGAGCUCAGCCCCCCCAAAACGGCGAUGCUGAGGGCGGUGAAGGUGAUGGGUGGGGGAAAAUCCAGGCAGGCGUUUGAGCAGGCAGAGGGUUGGGGAGCAAAGCAGGUGGAAACGCAGCGGUUCUUGCACGGGAUGUACUGGCAGCUAGCUCUGGAUGGCAGUAGCAGCCUGGUCUCUUAGCGGUGCCUGGGAAGCUGCAAAUUCAGCGAAGUGCAUCGAAACCUCGGCACUGGUCCUCGCGCUGCAGUGGGCCCACGUACACCAGCGGCUUCCAGUUCUGUCACCGGAGAAAAUGUGUCGCUAGUGUAUGCAGAUUGCAGUGUACAGAUACUGCUGGUAUUGCCCGGUGCUCACUGUGGGUCUGGGUGAAUCACAGAGAUGCUCCAUUCAGCAAGUUCCCAGCUGCUUACAGGCAGAUUUUAACUUCUGCUUGGAAACCAGACUGGACACUGCCAUGUGAAAUAGGCAAAGAGCCUCGCACUGGUCUUCUACUAACACUGAAAACGGAACUUGAUAGCUGCAAGGGAACCAGAACCACCCCAAACACUGUUUCUACUUUGCUUUUGUGAACAGGUUUGUUUCAGCAAGAAGCUGUUUCUGUGACAGAGCAGAGUAUGGCCUGGAUAACAGGAGGCACGUUGAGCAGAUCAGAAGAAAAGAAGCGCUUCCUUGCAGUGAGUCUGCCUGGCUUUGAAGGAGUGACAUAAAAGAAGUGAGAAAACCCUUGUAGUCUUCAUGUUUUAAAGUAAGGCAAGACAUAGAGAAAUGCAGCCUCUCGUAAGACAGGUUGGAGGCUGUGCUAGGAGAAGGGUGUUGUUAGCCAACAUGACCCUUCAGAAGCUUCACAAGACGGACACUUUUUUUCUCCCCAUGAUGUCCAACUCAGACCUCUUUCACUUUGCAAAGGCUUCAGCAGGUGUGUACUUAAUGCAGCUACUUCUGGUGGGGAAGAGGACAUCCAUUUGGCCUCAGUUCCUAUUGGGGUUGGGAGCAGGGAAUUAAAGACACCAG
Molecule: long non-coding RNA, 1080 nt
Filed under: Anser cygnoides (Swan goose)
Lineage: Eukaryota; Metazoa; Chordata; Aves; Anseriformes; Anatidae
Description: lncRNA (ENSACDG00005006429.1)
Source: RNAcentral